UCGUGCUAGGUGGGGAACUAGCGGUGCCCUGAACUCGCAAUCCGCUACAGCGAGGCUGAAUGCUGAUUUGAGGUCUAUCUUUUUCAAGGCUGGCUCAGGAAAGUGGCGAUGAAGGCUGGGUCCUGCUCAACUUAACAUUGCUGAACCCCGUCAGGUCCGGGAGGAAGCAGCGGUAGGCAACCUGGAGAGUGUGCUGCAGGGUUGCCUGGCUGGAGCUAACUACUUGAGUAUCGCUUGGGGGAGAAGAUCGAGAUCAGAUGCACGA
Molecule: signal recognition particle RNA, 265 nt
Filed under: bacterium
Lineage: Bacteria
Description: signal recognition particle sRNA large type
Rfam family: Bacterial large signal recognition particle RNA
About the family: The signal recognition particle (SRP) is a universally conserved ribonucleoprotein involved in the co-translational targeting of proteins to membranes.
Source: RNAcentral